GGAGGGAUCAUUAUGAGUUUUCUCUCUUACCCAAGAGUAGAACGAGGACUGUAACGUGUUCAAACACAACUUUCUUAAGCUCUACAUGUCGAAAGACUUUAGAACCAAUAGACAAAACAACAACAACAAACAAAAAACUAAACACGACUCGCAACAACGGAUAUCUUGGUUCUCGCAACGAUGAAGAACGCAGCGAAAUGCGAUACGUAAUGCGAAUUGCAGAAUCCAGUGAAUCAUCAAAUGUUUGAACGCAUAUGGCGCCUUUCCGCGUAGGAGAGGCACGUCUUUAUGAGCGGCGUUUUAACCCAUUUCCAAAGCAUUCGUGCGGAGGAAGAGAUGCGGCUGUUCUCGCUUCGGUGAGAACUGUUGUGAAAUCCAGAGGGCUCUUUUCUUUUCGACCUCGAGUGACUCGUGUCGCCUGCAGCGAGAGAGGAAGCCAGACAUCCCGGCUCCAACGGAUAUUGCCUCUUGUAGGCUUUCCUGUUGGGCACACAGCCGCGUCUUCAGCUUCACACAAACCUCUUUCGUGAGACAUUUCUGUAGUCCUGUCGAAGAACGUUCCACACACCUUGUAGUGUCGUGGUAAAUACGUGGAAAACCCCAUCACCAACCAUCGUCUGCUUACGCUGACGCACUUAUUCGAAAGCCCUCAUAUAAAACGAGAGAACCCGCUGAACUUAAGCAUAUUAUUAAGCGGAGGAAAAGAAACUAACAAGGAUUCCCUCAGUAACGGCGAGUGAAGCGGGAAGAGCUCAAGUCGAAAAUCCUUGCUCCACGCGGGGCAAGGAGUUGUGGCCUCGAGACCCUUUGUCAUGGCGCAGCAAUGCAUCUCCAGAGAUAAGUCCGUUUGAACACGGCGUCAGAGAGGGUGAGAACCCCGUUCAUUCUCUGGAGGGAGACCGGUACGACAGGGGUUCGCAGAGUCGCGUUGCUUGGGAGUGCAGCGCAAAGUGGGUCGUACACGUGAUCCAAAGCUAAAUACUGGCGAGAGACCGAUAGUGGACAAGUACCGUGAGGGAAAGAUGAAAAGCACCUGGAAACGGGAGUGAAAAAGAGCUUGAAAUUGUUGCGAGGUAAGCACUGGUGAAGGUUUAUUUGCGACGCUCGUGUUUUGGAGGGGGCUGAUGUCGCGGUUGUCUGUCCGAGCUUCGUAAAGGGGCCGGCGGGUGGCUGUGCGCAAGAGGUCCUAGAGAUCACACGGGCGGAGCCGUCUGCAUUGUUUUGGCUCUACAAGGUCUUAGAAGGUCGGGGGGAAGGUGGCGAGGCCGCGACGACAAGUCGAUGUGCUCUCGAGUUCUAUAGCCCUCCGAUUCGACAACUCGACCGGCCGGAACAAUUCUUUGGAAGGGCGUGGAGGGAGAGGAAGGGGAGUGAGGCGCGUCGUAGGCGGUCAGUUCGGGAGGACAAUGUCCUGCCGGGCUCCGUCCUGCGGCUCACGCAGCGCCCCCAAGGCCGAUCCAGACACCGCCAACAAACCCGCGGACGCAAGUGUUCUCGUCGGCUCGUCUGACGAGGAAACAAGCCCACCAAUGACCCGUCUUGAAACACGGACCAAGGAGUCCAACGUGUGUGCGAGUAUUUGCCUGGUUCAAGGGCGGAUGCGCAGUGAAAGCAAAGGGCGACGCUUGUCGACGCCUGAGGUGUGAAGGGACGCGGCUCAAAAGGACGCGACUCCGCAACAUCGGCCGGCCCCGGUGUCUUUGGGGACUGAGCACGAGCACCCAUGUUGGGACCCGAAAGAUGGUGAUCUAUGCCUGAGCAGGGCGAAGCCAGGGGAAACUCUGGUGGAGGCUCGCAGCGAUACUGACGUGCAAAUCGUUCGUCGGAUUUGGGUAUAGGGGCGAAAGACUAAUCGAACCAUCUAGUAGCUGGUUCCCUC
Molecule: unclassified non-coding RNA, 1879 nt
Filed under: uncultured fungus
Lineage: Eukaryota; Fungi
Description: sequence contains 18S rRNA gene, ITS1, 5.8S rRNA gene, ITS2, 28S rRNA gene
Rfam family: Eukaryotic large subunit ribosomal RNA (bases 645-1879)
Source: RNAcentral